This 179-nucleotide small nuclear RNA is filed under the name Meriones unguiculatus (Mongolian gerbil). RNAcentral's name for it is "U2 spliceosomal RNA (ENSMUGG00000012853.1)". It matches the Rfam family "U2 spliceosomal RNA". Rfam says of the family: U2 is a small nuclear RNA (snRNA) component of the spliceosome (involved in pre-mRNA splicing). Complementary binding between U2 snRNA (in an area lying towards the 5' end but 3' to hairpin I) and the branchpoint sequence (BPS) of the intron results the bulging out of an unpaired adenosine, on the BPS, which initiates a nucleophilic attack at the intronic 5' splice site, thus starting the first of two transesterification reactions that mediate splicing. Lineage: Eukaryota; Metazoa; Chordata; Mammalia; Rodentia; Muridae. The record is from RNAcentral.
AUAUCUCUAUGAGAUCAAGUGUAGUAUCCGUUUUUGGAAGUUUAAUAUCUGAUAUAUCAUUUAUCAGAAGACAAUACACUAAGUACACUUUUGCUGCUGGAAUCUGGAAUAGGCGUUUGCUAGGUCCCCUCCACGAGCUGACCAGGUACUAUAGUACCUACAGCAAAAGCACCGCUUGC